This 66-nucleotide non-coding RNA is filed under the name unclassified sequences. RNAcentral's name for it is "L31-Actinobacteria ribosomal protein leader". It matches the Rfam family "L31-Actinobacteria ribosomal protein leader". The record is from RNAcentral.
UCGGUUCCGGUUCACGCCAGGGGGUUCAUCCAGCCCCAUCAGUUUUGCCAUCGGCGACCCGGAGCC